ACUCAAAUGAAUAGACGGGGGCCCGCACAAGCGGUGGAGCAUGUGGUUUAAUUCGAAGCAACGCGAAGAACCUUACCAGGUCUUGACAUCCCUGGACAGCUGUGGAAACACAGUUUCCCUUCGGGGCCAGGAGACAGGUGGUGCAUGGUUGUCGUCAGCUCGUGUCGUGAGAUGUUGGGUUAAGUCCCGCAACGAGCGCAACCCUUGCCUUUAGUUGCCAUCAUUAAGUUGGGGACUCUAAAGGGACUGCCGGUGACAAAUCGGAGGAAGGUGGGGAUGACGUCAAAUCAUCAUGCCCCUUAUGAUCUGGGCUACACACGUGCUACAAUGGGUGGUACAGAGGGAAGCGAAGCCGUGAGGCGGAGCGAAUCCCAGAAAGCCACUCUCAGUUCGGAUUGCAGGCUGCAACUCGCCUGCAUGAAGUCGGAAUCGCUAGUAAUCGCAGGUCAGCAUACUGCGGUGAAUACGUUCCCGGGCCUUGCACACACCGCCCGU
Molecule: ribosomal RNA, 495 nt
Filed under: uncultured bacterium
Lineage: Bacteria
Description: bacterial SSU rRNA
Rfam family: Bacterial small subunit ribosomal RNA
Source: RNAcentral